Molecule: unclassified non-coding RNA, 200 nt
Filed under: soil metagenome
Description: partial contains internal transcribed spacer 2 and large subunit ribosomal RNA
Source: RNAcentral
CUUAAUGGUGGACUUGGAUUGUGCCGUAGUUGGCUCGUCCUGAAAUACAUUAGCUUGCACUUUUUAGGGUGCUUGGCAUGGUGUGAUAAUUAUCUGCGCCGUUGCCUAAUGCCUCUUCUAUGUGUGCUGCUAUAGUCGUCCAUUAGGACAAUAACUUAAGCUUUGACCUCAAAUCAGGUAGGACUACCCGCUGAACUUAA